CAAUCUUAACGAUGGAUGUCUUGGUUCCUACAGCGAUGAAGGCCGCAGCGAAACGCGAUAGGCAAUGAUAAUUGCAGUGACUGUGAAUCAUCGGACUGCUGAAUGUAAACUACACCCUAAGAGGGAUGGUUCCCUUUUUUAUUGAGA
RNAcentral lists this ribosomal RNA (147 nucleotides) under Plasmodium vivax (malaria parasite P. vivax). Its description in RNAcentral is "rRNA PVP01_0202800". It matches the Rfam family "5.8S ribosomal RNA". Rfam says of the family: 5.8S ribosomal RNA (5.8S rRNA) is a component of the large subunit of the eukaryotic ribosome. It is transcribed by RNA polymerase I as part of the 45S precursor that also contains 18S and 28S rRNA. RNAcentral also lists the same sequence under 1 other name. The record is from RNAcentral. Lineage: Eukaryota; Apicomplexa; Aconoidasida; Haemosporida; Plasmodiidae.